RNAcentral lists this ribosomal RNA (254 nucleotides) under uncultured bacterium. RNAcentral's name for it is "partial 16S ribosomal RNA". It matches the Rfam family "Bacterial small subunit ribosomal RNA", at positions 524 to 776 of the family's 1533-position model. The record is from RNAcentral.
CACGUAGGGCGCGAGCGUUGUCCGGAAUUAUUGGGCGUAAAGAGCUCGUAGGCGGUGUGUCGCGUCGGUCGUGAAAACUUGGGGCUUAACCCUGAGCUUGCGGUCGAUACGGGCAUCACUGGAGUUCGGCAGGGGAGACUGGAAUUCCUGGUGUAGCGGUGAAAUGCGCAGAUAUCAGGAGGAACACCGGUGGCGAAGGCGGGUCUCUGGGCCGAUACUGACGCUGAGGAGCGAAAGCGUGGGGAGCGAACAGG